GUGUCAGCAGCCGCGGUAAGACGAAGGUGGCUAGCGUUAUUCGGAUUCACUGGGCAUAAAGCGCGCGUAGGCGGCUCUUCAAGUCGGUGGUGAAAGCCCGCAGCUCAACUGCGGAACAGCCUUCGAUACUGUCGAGCUUGAGUGCAGGAGGGGUGAUCGGAACUCCAGGUGUAGCGGUGAAAUGCGUAGAUAUCUGGAGGAACACCGGAGGCGAAGGCGGAUCACUGGACUGCCACUGACGCUGAGGCGCGAAAGCUAGGGGAGCAAACAGGAUUAGAUACCCUGGUAGUCC
RNAcentral lists this ribosomal RNA (292 nucleotides) under uncultured bacterium. RNAcentral's name for it is "partial 16S ribosomal RNA". It matches the Rfam family "Bacterial small subunit ribosomal RNA", at positions 505 to 796 of the family's 1533-position model. The record is from RNAcentral.